Molecule: ribosomal RNA, 475 nt
Filed under: uncultured bacterium
Lineage: Bacteria
Description: bacterial SSU rRNA
Rfam family: Bacterial small subunit ribosomal RNA
Source: RNAcentral
AUUGAACGCUGGCGGCAUGCCUUACACAUGCAAGUCGAACGGCAGCACGGACUUCGGUCUGGUGGCGAGUGGCGAACGGGUGAGUAACAUAUCGGAACAUACCCUAGAGUGGGGGAUAACGUAGCGAAAGUUACGCUAAUACCGCAUACGAUCUAAGGAUGAAAGUGGGGGAUCUUCGGACCUCAUGCUCAUGGAGUGGCCGAUAUCUGAUUAGCUAGUUGGUGAGGUAAAGGCUCACCAAGGCGACGAUCAGUAGCUGGUUUGAGAGAACGACCAGCCACACUGGAACUGAGACACGGUCCAGACUCCUACGGGAGGCAGCAGUGGGGAAUUUUGGACAAUGGGGGCAACCCUGAUCCAGCAAUGCCGCGUGAGUGAAGAAGGCCUUCGGGUUGUAAAGCUCUUUUGUCAGGGAAGAUGAUGACUGUACCUGGAGAAUAAGCCCCGGCUAACUUCGUGCCAGCAGCCGCGGUAA